This 253-nucleotide ribosomal RNA is filed under the name uncultured bacterium. RNAcentral's name for it is "partial 16S ribosomal RNA". It matches the Rfam family "Bacterial small subunit ribosomal RNA", at positions 524 to 776 of the family's 1533-position model. The record is from RNAcentral.
UACGUAGGGUGCAAGCGUUGUCCGGAAUUAUUGGGCGUAAAGAGCUCGUAGGCGGUCAGUCGCGUCUGCUGUGAAAACUCGGGGCUUAACUCCGGGCCUGCAGUGGGUACGGGCUGACUAGAGUGCGGUAGGGGAGACUGGAAUUCCUGGUGUAGCGGUGAAAUGCGCAGAUAUCAGGAGGAACACCGGUGGCGAAGGCGGGUCUCUGGGCCGUGACUGACGCUGAGACGCGAAAGCGUGGGGAGCAAACAGG